Molecule: ribosomal RNA, 520 nt
Filed under: uncultured Crater Lake bacterium CL500-96
Lineage: Bacteria
Description: bacterial SSU rRNA
Rfam family: Bacterial small subunit ribosomal RNA
Source: RNAcentral
GCCACACUGGGACUGGGACACGGCCCAGACUCCUACGGGGGGCAGCAGUGGGGAAUAUUGGGCAAUGGAGGAAACUCUGACCCAGCGACGCCGCGUGCGGGGUGAAGGCCUUCGGGUUGUAAACCGCUUUCAGCAGGAAAGAAGCGAAAGUGACGGUACCUGCAGAAGAAGCACCGGCUAACUAUGUGCCAGCAGCCGCGGUAAUACAUAGGGUGCAAGCGUUGUCCGGAAUUAUUGGGCGUAAAGAGCUCGUAGGUGGUUCGUCACGUCGGAUGUGAAAAUCUGGGGCUUAACCCCAGACCUGCAUUCGAUACGGUCGGACUGGAGUGUGGUAGGGGAGACUGGAAUUCCUGGUGUAGCCGGUGGAAUGCGCAGAUAUCAGGAGGAACACCAAUGGCGAAGGCAGGUCUCUGGGCCAUUACUGACACUGAGGAGCGAAGCGUGGGGAGCGGACAGGAUUAGAUACCCUGGUAGUCCACGCCGUAAACGAUGGGGCACUAGUUUGUGGAAACCUUCACGG